AUUAUCGGCAAGGGGUGCCCGGGAAUACUUCCCGGUGCUGAGAAAUACCCAUUGAACCUGAUACGGGUAAUGCCGUCGUAGGGAAUAGCUUUUCGCAAGCCA
This 102-nucleotide non-coding RNA is filed under the name Clostridiales bacterium. RNAcentral describes it as "TPP sequence". It matches the Rfam family "TPP riboswitch aptamer (THI element)". Rfam says of the family: Vitamin B(1) in its active form thiamin pyrophosphate (TPP) is an essential coenzyme that is synthesised by coupling of pyrimidine and thiazole moieties in bacteria. The previously detected thiamin-regulatory element, thi box was extended, resulting in a new, highly conserved RNA secondary structure, the THI element, which is widely distributed in eubacteria and also occurs in some archaea. Analysis of operon structures identified a large number of new candidate thiamin-regulated genes, mostly transporters, in various prokaryotic organisms. The record is from RNAcentral. Lineage: Bacteria; Bacillati; Bacillota; Clostridia; Eubacteriales.